UGAUUUUAGGGAAUAGUAAACGUUAUGAAAAAAUCCAUUGUAUAAUAUAAUUAUAGUGUAUAGUUCAUGAAUCCGAAGUGGUUCAAAAGGAUGUCGCUGUACAGAUUCAGAGCGGCCGCUUCCAGCUCAGCAAAAGUGAAAGCCACUUGACGGUUAAAUUCGUAGUGUGUCCGCUGAUAGCGCUCGGGGACAGAAAAAUCUCAUAGGUCAGAGUCGCUUCCGACUUCGUUACCGUCAACAUUAAACACAACAGCAAGAUACUUGGAAAGGACUUUCUCGUUCGAACAAACAUAAUGGAAGCGUAUUCUACACGCACAUAUUCACUCGGGCCAACCGUGUGACUCAUUUGGAAAAAGGACCCAUCGUCGGUUUCAUGGCAGCGAAGUGAGCAGACAAAAAAGGCAUCGUUUUUUUCCACAUGAUCGUUCUGAGCAAAAUUCUGCGAUUUGCCAGGCAUAAACCACCGAUGAGACAGUACCCGUUCGGAUUCAGGACGUUUUCCCAUACAUUGUACCCGGUCGAAGCGAUGACAAGCGAUGCAGAUAACUGGAUCAAAAAGGCGGAGGUUCUGGGAAUUUCUGCACUCGUUAGCGAUCUGAGUAUGACCAAGGACAAGGAAUCAGAACCGGCGACUGACAGUCCAGAGAAAGAGAAUGCGGAAAAACCUUCUAGUCCAUAGCUCCUGAAGAAAAACGAGCUGAAGCGAAUAUGGAGAAACAGCUUCCUCCACGGAAAAUGCAGAGGCAUGCAACGCGGCGGAUGCAAGUUUGCUAAUUGAAAUUAUUCGCAAAGAUCUAGUAGAAUUAAAACUGGAGGUGCUGCGAAACGAUCCUUUUGCGACGCUAUACUCGGUUAAAACUAUCGACGCUUUGCACUUGAUGCCGGAACUGCCCACCCCGAGAGCAGAUGAGCGCUGGGGAAUGUUUUCAGCCACCUGGAGGAGGAAGUUCAGCGCGGAAGAAAUGUUACCAGACUUCGCCGAUCUGGUAGCUGGACUUUUUUUGAUGAUCUCAUAGAGAUUGGGUGUGCAGAUGGGCGUUUAAAGUUCUGGGAGGGAACGACUGGUAACUUUUAGGAUAUAUAUGAAGCUGAAAACAACCACAACAAUGGGGUAACUAACAUAAACCUCGCCGGUGACAAAGUGAUAGUCGCACGGUUGAGUGAACGAAUCGAUUUUCUGAGACUGGAAACGUACACGUAAGGUUUUCAGAUCGAUUGGGGAUUUACGUCUGCAUAUGGGCGAACCCACGUACGCAGCGGUUCAGCAGGAAGCAUUAGUUUAUUUCAGCAACUCGCCGGCUCAAAUCCGUCCACAGCGUUGCCAGCUCAACAUCACGCAUCCGAGGAGGAGCUUCGAUGUAUCCUGGAGUUUCACCAGCAGGGUCACCGGUGACAUGUUUGGAAGUGGCGGGCGGUACAGUCAUUACUGGCAGCCAGGGCCACACUGUUAACGUGUUCCGGCUUGAUAGCCACCUAUUGCAGUUCACCCUAAACGGCCAUUGCGGUCCUAUCACAUGUAUUUUCAUAGACCAGUGGCAGGCCGAGAUGGGCGCAUCUGGUUGCCAGGAUGGUGUGCUAUGUGUGUGGGACUUGAUACGGGGUGCCUGUAUGUACAAAAUUGAAGCCCAUGACGACAUGACGUCGCACUUGCCUGUUCCCCGAGUUACGCAAUAUCGCUCGGACUGAACGAACG
Molecule: long non-coding RNA, 1693 nt
Organism: Topomyia yanbarensis
Lineage: Eukaryota; Metazoa; Arthropoda; Insecta; Diptera; Culicidae
Exons: 7
Source: RefSeq, a predicted model, not a curated record